This is a long non-coding RNA of Clarias gariepinus (North African catfish), 639 nucleotides long. RefSeq lists it as uncharacterized. The record is from RefSeq and is a predicted model, not a curated record. Lineage: Eukaryota; Metazoa; Chordata; Actinopteri; Siluriformes; Clariidae. The transcript is spliced from 2 exons.
CGGGGAUGUGCGAUCUGUCUGCUUUGACUCACAGUUCCUUUUUCUUCUGGGGAAGAAAUCUGGAUAAAAGAAGGACUGAUGUUAGAAAUAAUAAUAACAAAAAUAACAACAACAACAAUAAUAUUAAUUUGAACCCCUGUAGUCCAACUGGGGACAGUGGAGGCCAACAGUGAUUAUCAUUGUAUUUAUUCCCGUUUUACAAGCAUAGUGGGACCUCUGUUCAACAUCCACAUGGGCAUUUACACACAAUACACAAUUUGGGAAUGCCAAUCAGUCUAAUCUGCAUGUCUUUUUUAUGUGUAAGGAAACCGGAGUAUCCGGAGGAAACGCACCAAGGAUGGGGAGAACAUGCAAACUCCAUGCACACAGACCCCGAGGCGGGACUCAAACACAGACCCAGGAUGUGCAAGGCGACAGUUCUAACCACUAAGCCACCGUGUGGCCUAUGUCAUUUAUGUAUAUAUUUUCAAUUGUAAUUAUUAAUUGUUUGCUUAAACAUUAGGGCAUUUUAAGCUUGAUCCCAGGUUAUAAGCUACAAGGAGUUGCAGACUUUAUGAACAUGUUCUUGUGGGUUCCUUCUGGAUUCUCCAGUUCCCUUUUACCUUAAAUAAACAUGCCAGUAGGUAGACAUGCAAAUCU